This is a non-coding RNA of Trichophaea hybrida, 97 nucleotides long. NCBI's taxonomy places the organism in Eukaryota, Fungi, Ascomycota, Pezizomycetes, Pezizales, Pyronemataceae. The record is from the annotation of a GenBank genome assembly.
AGCCCUGUGGUGAAAUGGCUUACACGUGGAGUAUCUUUACGAUUUAAUGACAUCCAAGUAUAUUUGCAAGGUCAUAGUUCGAAUCUGUGCAGGGCUG